GACGAACGCUGGCGGCGUGCUUAACACAUGCAAGUCGAACGGAAAGGCCCUGCUUUUGUGGGGUGCUCGAGUGGCGAACGGGGGAGUAACACGUGAGUAACCUGCCCUUGACUUUGGGAUAACUUCAGGAAACUGGGGCUAAUACCGGAUAGGAGCUCCUGCUGCAUGGUGGGGGUUGGAAAGUUUCGGCGGUUGGGGAUGGACUCGCGGCUUAUCAGCUUGUUGGUGGGGUAGUGGCUUACCAAGGCUUUGACGGGUAGCCGGCCUGAGAGGGUGACCGGCCACAUGGGGACUGAGAUACGGCCCAGACGCCUACGGGAGGCAGCAGUGGGGAAUAUUGCACAAUGGGCGGAAGCCUGAUGCAGCAACGCCGCGUGCGGGAUGACGGCCUUCGGGUUGUAAACCGCUUUCGCCUGUGACGAAGCGUGAGUGACGGUAAUGGGUAAAGAAGCACCGGCUAACUACGUG
Molecule: ribosomal RNA, 468 nt
Filed under: uncultured bacterium
Lineage: Bacteria
Description: partial 16S ribosomal RNA
Rfam family: Bacterial small subunit ribosomal RNA
Source: RNAcentral